This is a non-coding RNA of Xylaria sp. CBS 124048, 125 nucleotides long. The record is from the annotation of a GenBank genome assembly. NCBI's taxonomy places the organism in Eukaryota, Fungi, Ascomycota, Sordariomycetes, Xylariales, Xylariaceae.
GGCUUCGUGGCCCAAUGGCAAGGCGUCUGACUACGAGAAAGAGAGGGAGGUAUUUCAAGAAAUUGAAAGUCUCUCUAUCCGCACCGGUAAUCAGGAGAUUCUGGGUUCGACCCCCAGCGAGGUCA